Molecule: non-coding RNA, 101 nt
Organism: Acanthosepion pharaonis
Lineage: Eukaryota; Metazoa; Mollusca; Cephalopoda; Sepiida; Sepiidae
Source: the annotation of a GenBank genome assembly
UAUGGAUAAACACCAGUUCUCAUCCGAUCACCAAAUUUAAGCAAUGUUGAGCCUGGUCAGUACCUAGAUGGGAGACCACUUGGAAAUACCGGGUGCUGUAA